This is a long non-coding RNA of Cottoperca gobio, 1211 nucleotides long. RefSeq lists it as uncharacterized. The transcript has 2 exons. The record is from RefSeq and is a predicted model, not a curated record. NCBI's taxonomy places the organism in Eukaryota, Metazoa, Chordata, Actinopteri, Perciformes, Bovichtidae.
GAAGAUGUGAAGUUGGAUGCAGUUGAAGGACAGUUUGACUUUCUACAAUUCAAUGAAAAAGCCCUAGUCAUGCUGCAGUUUGGAGGAGCAUCUCCACAACCAGCAGCGUCGGCAGCCGUACCUCCUCGCUGUUGGGGCGUCAGAAGAGCAAGAUUGACAGCUUGGAUGAGCAUCUCAUCCCACGCCAGGCAAACCGCUCCCUACCGUCGGGCGAACUUUCCAAAACCCAUUUUGUGUUUAAUUUGUCGUACGAUGCUGCGUACUGAAUUUGCACAUUCUUGCAGACAGUGUAUAACAUUGAUGUGGGGAAAAUGAAGGAGUAUAUCAUACCAAAUAAAUGUGCGUCUAUUGUGGCCAAAUUACAGCGGAGCAGUAUGAUGUUCUCGAUUGUAGUCGAUUUGGAGGAACAAACGAGUGAGAGUCGCUCACAAGCUGCUCUACCUAUAGCUGACCCAAACAUCUGUGAUGAAGCUUAAUACAGAAUGGAAACUAGAUAUAUACUUUCAUAUUAAAUGGAGAGUUGUCGAGCCAAUAGAAAUAACACUUGGAGUUAGAUAUGUUUGCAGGUGAAAUCUGGUACCUAUGAAGGAUACUUUUAUAUAUUUGCCAUGUUUAGAAAUGAGUAGAUCAGACACUCAGACUUUUGAUAGAAGUUAUUUUAAAACCCACGUCCGGUUUACAGCAAGAAAAUAUGCAUUACAUGAUUUAGAAACUGCUAAUCCACAAAUGUAUUUAAUUUAAUGAUCACUUUCACGCACAAGUACGGUUUUAUACUGGAACCGUUGAUAAAUUGUAUAAAAUUACUGGAAACAAGGCCUUAGUCUUCCUCUUUCUGGUGUGCAGGUAUACGGUACAAUAUCACAGGGAUGCACACUUCUUGGUUUAAAUGAGUCUUUUGUCGUGUUUGAGGGUUUUUAAAUUGCAUUUAAAUGUCAUUUUAUAAUGUUUCUUGAUGCUUUUGUAUAGCGCCUUAAUGUGAUUUAUAACAUGAACUGACAUUUAUCUGUGGCUAGAAUAAGACGUCAGUGAGUUUGUACUGAAGUCUCCUCUCGUCGUUACAAAGUCUCAGAAAUCAGUGUUAUUAGAUCAUUUAUUUGGCAUUUUAAAGAUGGUUGAACUGCAUUCAUCAAAAAUAUUUGCAUAAAACUCCAGUUCUACUUUCAUAAACAAAACAUGUAACUUCAGGCAAAAGUAAAAAAAUCACUUGGCUG